This 51-nucleotide ribosomal RNA is filed under the name Sulfolobus sp. F1. RNAcentral's name for it is "partial 23S ribosomal RNA". Lineage: Archaea; Thermoproteati; Thermoproteota; Thermoprotei; Sulfolobales; Sulfolobaceae. The record is from RNAcentral.
CGGUGGAUGGCUCGGCUCGGGCGCCGACGAAGGGCGCGGCAAGCGGCGAAA